Hordeum vulgare subsp. vulgare (domesticated barley) is the source of this 2240-nucleotide RNA transcript. It is a transcript of the gene named tyrosine-specific transport protein 2, with no coding region annotated. The record is from RefSeq and is a predicted model, not a curated record. The transcript has 4 exons. NCBI's taxonomy places the organism in Eukaryota, Viridiplantae, Streptophyta, Magnoliopsida, Poales, Poaceae.
UUUAAAAAGAAAAAAAACCUGCCUUCCCCACCCCUCUUUGUGAGUGUCUUCAAGCCACAAUGUUUCACAUUGCCAUUGCGGAAAAAACCUACCUUUGACCUGCCAAGUUACAACAGCCAUGUUCCUCUGCUGCCGCCGCCACCUUACCUUCUCACCGCUCGCCGCCGCCGUCCCCUCUCCCAGUGGACACCGCCCUCUCAAGCCAAGAACGCCCAGAGCCCCAAUCCUAGCAUCCAAGAACCCCCCACCACGGCCGUGGCCACUGCCAAGGCGGCAAUGGCGGUGGCGGUGCAGCAGCGCCGAUGCCGUCCAACCGCCACCCCUCGUCGAGGCCAGUGUCUCCGGCGGCGGCGAGAAGAAGAGCUUCUGGGCGGCGGUGAGUCUCAUCAUCGGCACGGCGGUCGGGCCGGGCAUGCUGGCGCUGCCGUCGGCCACCAUCCUCUCCGGCCCGGUCCCCUCCACCGUGGCCAUCCUGCUCUCCUGGGCCUACGUCGUGUCCUCCAUCGUCCUUGUCGCCGAGCUCAGCUUCGCGGCCAUGGAAAGCGGGGGCGUGGACGAGGUCAGCUUCACGGGACUUGCGUCGAGCACCUUGGGGGCAACCUUUGGUGGCGUCGUCGCCGUCGUCUACGCUGCGCUGAGCUUCUCCCUGAUGGUCGCGUGCGUAGCCGGCAUCGGAUCUCUGGUCUCUCAGCUCUUCCCCGCGGUGAAUCCGGUCUUGGCGAACGCGCUCUUCCCGUGCUUCGCCGCGGUGCUCAUCGCGUUCUUCCCGUUCAAGGCUGUCGAUGGCGUCAACCGCGUGCUCUGCGGCCUGAUGCUCGUCUCGAUCACGUCGCUAGUGGUGACAGGCGUCUCUGUCGGCCGGAGCAGCAUGCUGAAUUCGCUUGGCUUCGCGUGCUGGAGCCCCAGUGCCAUCUUGCCGGCCAUUCCGGUCACCGUGCUCACGCUUGGGUUCCACGUAAUCACGCCAUUCAUCUGCAACAUUGUAGGUGACUCGGUGUAUGAUGCACGCAGGGCAAUUCUCAUUGGGGGUGCUGUACCAUUGGUCAUGGUUUUGUCAUGGAAUGCGGUCAUUCUCGGAUUGGCAGGCGCGGCUGGCAGUGCAAGGUUCGAGGACCCUAUUAAGCUUCUUCUCUCGGUGAAUCCAGCGGCAUUGGCUCCCGUUCGAGGCUUUGCAUUUGCUGCAUUGGCGACGAGCUUGAUAGGAUAUGCAGUCAGCUUCCCGAAGCAGUUGCAAGACACUUUGCAGUUGAUUGUUAAGAGAUUUUCUCUGAAGCAAGGAAGUGUGGAGUUGUCCGAUGCUGGUGGUGGUCAUGGCAGGAACGAGGUGGCUCUUACAUUGGCAGUGCUGAUCAUUCCCAUAUUUAUUGUAUCAUUCUUUUCAACAGCGUUUGCCAAGGCAUUAGAUUUCGCCGGGGUUUAUGCAAACUGCUUUUUGUUUGGGAUUCUGCCUCCUGCAAUGGCGUGGAUUCAUCGGUCACAGAAAAAGAGGUCACCUGGUUCAUGUGAAGAUAUUUUGCCUGGUGGGAAUGCUGCUCUGUUGGUACUUUUCAUCAUUGCGGUCAUCCUAGCAUUCCGUCACUAAAAGUAAAAUCGUGAAGUUAUCAUUGCAACUGUCUGCAGAACUAACCAGAGUAAUCAAAAGACUUCUUCCAGUAAAAUUAGAGGGAAAAUGUUAUCAAACGUGUGCAGUACAAAUAAAAAGGUGACUUACUACCCUGGAUAUCUCUGUUUCCAACCCUAUUGGACCUUGUUGAGCUGCACUCGGAUGAGUGGUGCAUUUUCACUUCGGGCAAGAAUGGGGGUGCGCCAUGGCUAAUAUCAACGACAAUGGUGGUGCUGUUAGGAAGGGGCUUGUUUCCCUCCUCAUGCUUGUCUCGUGGGAAGCAUGGAAUGAGCGUAAUGCGAGAGUUUAUAGGAGCAUUUCAUCUCUGCCAAGUGUAAAAAUUGGUAAGAUUAAGGAGGAGGACAAACAUGGGUUGUAGCGGGCGCAAAUAGUUCGAUCAUGCCGCUAUAGUAAUACUUUGUGGGUCGGUUACCGGUUCUGUACUCUUCUUAGUUAAUGAAUAGGCAAAGCUUUUGCCCUCGUCUCAGGGAAAAAAAAACCGUACUUGCUGACAAGAUGCCCUUUUGUUUCGUAGGUACGAGUAAAAUAACGUGCCAGAUUUCAGUUGAAGCGGCGAUGCUCGCUGUACGUCGCUUUUAUUCAGAUUUCACAGUACGACCUCUUGAUUUGAAGUUUC